UGUGGGAGCGAGCCUGCUCGCGAUGACGGACUGUCAAUCAACAAUGAUGUUGAAUGUAAGGCCGCUAUCGCGAGCAGGCUCGCUCCCACA
Molecule: non-coding RNA, 90 nt
Filed under: Pseudomonas sp. WPR_5_2
Lineage: Bacteria; Pseudomonadati; Pseudomonadota; Gammaproteobacteria; Pseudomonadales; Pseudomonadaceae
Source: RNAcentral